RNAcentral lists this long non-coding RNA (207 nucleotides) under Capsicum annuum. RNAcentral's name for it is "long non-coding RNA (CANN_LNC001239)". Lineage: Eukaryota; Viridiplantae; Streptophyta; Magnoliopsida; Solanales; Solanaceae. The record is from RNAcentral.
AUUCAUUGAAAAUCGUGCAUUAAAAUCAAGUUUUAUGAACUACAAGUGGCCUGAAUUCUCAUGAACCUAAGAUAUGUAGGAAACCUGAUACCGAGGUUCGGCCAUAGCUCCCAAAACUUAUGCGAAAAUCAACCUCUUCCAAGAGAUGAAUCUAUGGCCGGACAAAAAUUAGAAACGUCAAACUCCCUUUGCCUAGAGUUACUUCCA